RNAcentral lists this ribosomal RNA (659 nucleotides) under uncultured marine eukaryote. RNAcentral's name for it is "SSU rRNA". It matches the Rfam family "Eukaryotic small subunit ribosomal RNA", at positions 617 to 1281 of the family's 1831-position model. The record is from RNAcentral.
GGUUAAAAGCUCGUAGUUGGAUUUCUGUUGAGGACGGCCGGUCCGCACUAUGUGCGUGUAUCUGGUUCGGCCUUGGCAUCCUCUUGAGGAACGUAUCUACGCUUGAUUGCGUGGAGCGGUAUUCAAGACUUUUACUUUGAGGAAAUUAGAGUGUUCACGGCAGGCAAGCGCCCUGAAUAUAUUAGCAUGGAAUAAUAAUAUAGGAUCUUGGUUCUAUUUUGUUGGUUUCUAGAGCUAAGGUAAUGAUUAAUAGGGAUAAUUGGGGGCAUUUGUAUUAACGCGUCAGAGGUGGAAUUCUUGGAUUGCGUUACGACAAACUACUGCGAAAGCAUUUGCCAAGGAUGUUUUCAUUGAUCAAGAACGAAAGUAUGGGGAUCGAAGAUGAUUAGAUACCGUCGUAGUCUAUACCAUAAACUAUGCCGACUAGGGAUUGGAGGUCGUUCUUUUUAUGACUCCUUCAGCACCUUAUGAGAAAUCAAAGUCUUUGGGUUCCGGGGGGAGUAUAGUCGCAAGGCUGAAACUUAAAGGAAUUGACGGAAGGGCACCACCAGGAGUGGAGCCUGCGGCUUAAUUUGACUCAACACGGGGAAACUCACCAGGUUCAGACAUAGUAAGGAUUGACAGAUUGAUAACUCUUUCUGGAUUCUAUGGGUGGUGGU